AUAGCUCAUUGGCAGAGCACUUGCUUAGCAUGCAUGAAGCCUUGGGUUUGAUUCCCAGU
This 59-nucleotide transfer RNA is filed under the name Heterocephalus glaber (naked mole-rat). It matches the Rfam family "tRNA", at positions 7 to 64 of the family's 71-position model. Rfam says of the family: Transfer RNA (tRNA) molecules are approximately 80 nucleotides in length. Their secondary structure includes four short double-helical elements and three loops (D, anti-codon, and T loops). Lineage: Eukaryota; Metazoa; Chordata; Mammalia; Rodentia; Bathyergidae. The record is from Rfam by way of RNAcentral.